GAUGAACGCUGGCGGCGUGCCUAAUACAUGCGAGUCGAGCGAACAGACGAGGAGCUGGCGCCUCUGACGUUAGCGGCGGACGGGUGAGUAACACGUGGAUAACCUACCUAUAAGACUUGGAUAACAUCGGGAAACCGGAGCUAAUACCGGAUAAUAUAUUGAUCCACAGGAUCAAGAGUCGAAUUAGGUAGUUGGUGAGGUAAGAGCUUGAAUCGGCGCCGAUGUGUAGCCUGGCUGAGUGAGUGAUUGGCCACGCUGGAAAUGAGACACGGUCCAGACUCCUACGGGAGGCCGCAGUAGGGAAUCUUCCGCAAUGGGCGAAAGCCUGACGGAGCAACGCCGCGUGAGUGAUGAAGGUCUUCGGAUCGUAAAACUAUGUUAUUAGGGAAGAACAAAUGUGUAAGUAACUAUGCACGUCUUGACGGUACCUAAUCAGAAAGCCACGGCUAACUACGUG
This 457-nucleotide ribosomal RNA is filed under the name uncultured bacterium. Its description in RNAcentral is "partial 16S ribosomal RNA". It matches the Rfam family "Bacterial small subunit ribosomal RNA", at positions 28 to 507 of the family's 1533-position model. The record is from RNAcentral.